RNAcentral lists this long non-coding RNA (654 nucleotides) under Gadus morhua (Atlantic cod). Its description in RNAcentral is "lncRNA (ENSGMOG00000023184.1)". The record is from RNAcentral. Lineage: Eukaryota; Metazoa; Chordata; Actinopteri; Gadiformes; Gadidae.
AUGAUUGUCAUAUGUUUGGGUAUGUUUACUGCCUCUGCCACAGCUGUGCAGGUUAACCUGAAGCCAAAGAUGGUUAGCGUGGGCACACAGACUUCAUUCAGCCCACAAACCUCCACUCCCCUCGCUAGUCCUGAACAGACAGUUGACGAUGAUGAUGAUAAUGCCACUGUCGUCAGUGACUUUUCGUGGGUGCCCGAAGAGCCGAUGGAUGAGGAGGAAUUGUUUGAUGAGGAGCCACCUUACACGUGUGACCCCCACCACAAUUGCAUUGACAAAUUCAUUGUUUGCCAAGAGGAGCCGAUGGGCCUUUUUGCCAUCUGUCCGGCCUGUUGUGAGAGGUCGGAUAGUAGCAUCGUGCAGCAGGAAGGAACUUUUGUUAAGAUCAAGCAGGUCUGUGCAUCAUGUGGCUACCACCGUUUCUGGCAAAACCAGCCAAUGCUCCACAGGAACAUGCCAACCUGCAACCUCCUGUUAAGUGGGGCCAUUCAUUUUACUGGAUGUUUGGCCACACAGACACUAAGCAAUUUCUUUCGCCAUCAGCGCCACUACACCAUCCCUGUAAUCGUUCAGGCCUGGCAGAAUGAUCAAGCCAAGAAUUUUAGUGACCUACGGGCAAUGGAUGGCGGGCUAGUUCUUGCUGGUGACUGCAGUUAA